This 407-nucleotide ribosomal RNA is filed under the name uncultured bacterium. RNAcentral describes it as "partial 16S ribosomal RNA". It matches the Rfam family "Bacterial small subunit ribosomal RNA", at positions 30 to 526 of the family's 1533-position model. The record is from RNAcentral.
AUUGAACGCUGGCGGCAGGCCUAACACAUGCAAGUCGAGCGGAGCGGCGGACGGGUGAGUAAUGCCUAGGAAUCUGCCUGGUAGUGGGGGAUAACGUCCUGAAACGGGCGCUAAUACCGCAUACUAUCAGAUGAGCCUGGGUCGGAUUGGCUAGUUGGGGGGGUAUAGGCCUACCAAGGCGACGUUCCGUAACUGGUCUGAGAGGUUGAUCAGUCAAAAUGGAACUGAGACACGGGCCAGACUCCUACGGGAGGCAGCAGUGGGGAAUAUUGGACAAUGGGCGAAAGCCUGAUGCAGCCAUGCCGCGUGUGUGAAGAAGGCCUUCGGGUUGUAAAGCACUUUCAGCGGGGAGGCGUUACCCGCAGAAGAAGCACCGGCUAACUCCGUGCCAGCAGCCGCGGUAAUAC